RNAcentral lists this small nuclear RNA (107 nucleotides) under Physeter macrocephalus (sperm whale). The record is from RNAcentral. Lineage: Eukaryota; Metazoa; Chordata; Mammalia; Artiodactyla; Physeteridae.
GUGCUCGCUUCAGCAGCACAUAUACUAAAAUUGGAAUGGUACAGAGAAGAUUAGCAUGGCCCCUGUGCAAGUAUGACAUGCAAAUUUAUGAGGCAUUCCGUAUUGUU